GACGAACGCUGGCGGCGUGCCUAACACAUGCAAGUCGAGCGGAGUCAGUAAGAGGAAGUUUUCGGAUGGAAUCUUAUUGAUUUAGCGGCGGACGGGUGAGUAACGCGUGAGCGACCAACCUUGCACAGGGGGAUAACGGACCGAAAGGUUCACUAAUACCGCAUGAGACCACGGUGUUGCAUGACACAGGGGUCAAAGGAGCAAUCCGGUGCAAGACGGGCUCGCGUCCGAUUAGGUAGUUGGAGGGGUAACGGCCCACCAAGCCUAUGAUCGGUAGCCGACCUGAGAGGGUGAUCGGCCACAUUGAAACUGAGAUACGGUCCAAACCCCUACGGGAGGCAGCAGUGGGGAAUAUUGGGCAAUGGGGGAAACCCUGACCCAGCAACGCCGCGUGAAGGAAGAAGGUUUUCGGAUUGUAAACUUCUGUCCUUGGUGAAGAGAAGAAGACGGUAGCCAAGGAGGAAGCCCCGGCUAACUACGUGCCAGCCGCCGCCGUAA
Molecule: ribosomal RNA, 498 nt
Filed under: uncultured bacterium
Lineage: Bacteria
Description: partial 16S ribosomal RNA
Rfam family: Bacterial small subunit ribosomal RNA
Source: RNAcentral